GAUGAGCGCUGGCGGCGUGCCUAAUACAUGCAAGUCGAGCGAACAGACGAGGAGCUUGUUCCUCUGACGUUAGCGGCGGACGGGUGAGUAACACGUGGAUAACCUACCUAUAAGACUGGGAUAACUUCGGGAAACCGGAGCUAAUACCGGAUAAUAUAUUGAACCGCAUGGUUCAAUAGUGAAAGACGGUUUUGCUGUCACUUAUAGAUGGAUCCGCGCCGCAUUAGCUAGUUGGUAAGGUAACGGCUUACCAAGGCAACGAUGCGUAGCCGACCUGAGAGGGUGAUCGGCCACACUGGAACUGAGACACGGUCCAGACUCCUACGGGAGGCAGCAGUAGGGAAUCUUCCGCAAUGGGCGAAAGCCUGACGGAGCAACGCCGCGUGAGUGAUGAAGGUCUUCGGAUCGUAAAACUCUGUUAUUAGGGAAGAACAAAUGUGUAAGUAACUAUGCACGUCUUGACGGUACCUAAUCAGAAAGCCACGGCUAACUACGUG
RNAcentral lists this ribosomal RNA (497 nucleotides) under uncultured bacterium. RNAcentral describes it as "partial 16S ribosomal RNA". It matches the Rfam family "Bacterial small subunit ribosomal RNA", at positions 28 to 507 of the family's 1533-position model. The record is from RNAcentral.